RNAcentral lists this ribosomal RNA (764 nucleotides) under Aeromicrobium sp. MMRF1028. RNAcentral describes it as "bacterial SSU rRNA". It matches the Rfam family "Bacterial small subunit ribosomal RNA", at positions 261 to 1038 of the family's 1533-position model. Lineage: Bacteria; Bacillati; Actinomycetota; Actinomycetes; Propionibacteriales; Nocardioidaceae. The record is from RNAcentral.
UGGCCCACCAAGGCGACGACGGGUAGCCGGCCUGAGAGGGUGACCGGCCACACUGGGACUGAGACACGGCCCAGACUCCUACGGGAGGCAGCAGUGGGGAAUAUUGGACAAUGGGCGAAAGCCUGAUCCAGCAACGCCGCGUGAGGGAUGACGGCCUUCGGGUUGUAAACCUCUUUCAGCAGGGACGAAGCGAGAGUGACGGUACCUGCAGAAGAAGGACCGGCCAACUACGUGCCAGCAGCCGCGGUAAUACGUAGGGUCCGAGCGUUGUCCGGAAUUAUUGGGCGUAAAGGGCUCGUAGGCGGUCUGUCGCGUCGGGAGUGAAAACUCAGGGCUCAACCCUGAGCGUGCUUCCGAUACGGGCAGACUAGAGGUAUGCAGGGGAGAACGGAAUUCCUGGUGUAGCGGUGGAAUGCGCAGAUAUCAGGAGGAACACCGGUGGCGAAGGCGGUUCUCUGGGCAUUACCUGACGCUGAGGAGCGAAAGCAUGGGGAGCGAACAGGAUUAGAUACCCUGGUAGUCCAUGCCGUAAACGUUGGGCGCUAGGUGUGGGGACCUUCCACGGUUUCCGUGCCGCAGCUAACGCAUUAAGCGCCCCGCCUGGGGAGUACGGCCGCAAGGCUAAAACUCAAAGGAAUUGACGGGGGCCCGCACAAGCGGCGGAGCAUGCUGAUUAAUUCGAUGCAACGCGAAGAACCUUACCUGGGUUUGACAUAUACCGGAAAGCUGCAGAGAUGUGGCCCCCCUUGUGGUCGGUAUACAGG